UGCGUAGGCGGGUCUUUAAGUCAGGGGUGAAAUCCUGGAGCUCAACUCCAGAACUGCCUUUGAUACUGAAGAUCUUGAGUUCGGGAGAGGUGAGUGGAACUGCGAGUGUAGAGGUGAAAUUCGUAGAUAUUCGCAAGAACACCAGUGGCGAAGGCGGCUCACUGGCCCGAUACUGACGCUGAGGCACGAAAAGCUGGGGGAGCAAACA
RNAcentral lists this ribosomal RNA (208 nucleotides) under uncultured bacterium. Its description in RNAcentral is "partial 16S ribosomal RNA". It matches the Rfam family "Bacterial small subunit ribosomal RNA", at positions 568 to 774 of the family's 1533-position model. The record is from RNAcentral.